CUAGUCUUUAUAGGAUAUCUAUGGGUUUCGCAACUUUACAUUUACACUUACAUUUACAUUUACAUGUAGACGGUAAAACGUCAUCGGUUUUUGUGACGUGUGACGUAAAGAGCACGUCAUAAAAGUGUAGCAGACGGAUAGCAGCCUCCAUAAAUGUAAGUUCACAACACUUAGCUAAACCUUGUUUAAUUUCUAUGAUCAAGUCCAUAAUUGUUCUCUGAAUCGUGGUUUUCACGAACUACAUCCACAGAGAAGACCUUCUCCUAGACAAAAAGGAAGAGACCGAGACAAAACAUGCGUGCUUUAGUAAUUCAACGAUCUAUCCGUGAUGUGCUCUAGAACUGCCCAUGACUAUGGUGCUAUGUAGGCCUAUCGAUAUCAUGGACCUGGCAUAGUCUGUGGCUACCUUGGGAAGGCUUGGUUAUCCUUCACACUCUCUUUUGCAGUGGAAGGAAACCGAAGAACUUGGAGAAAACCCACUAUGUUGGGGAGGGGACCCUAAAUUUAGUAUAGCCUUGCCUCGUAUAACUACAAGCUUAGGAAACCACCUCGCCACUUGACCCGAUGACAGACAUUAUUAUACCCAGUCUUACUUAGUUAGGCCCUCGGAGCUACGGUGCCAUUAACCACUAGCCAUUAUGAUCUAGGCUAAAGCGCACGCGUUAGACCCUCCCCCCAACUAUGUUCUAUUUUUUUGGCGUUACUAAUAUGCCAAGUGGUAGCUCAAAUGCCGUAGGCUAGCCAAAUGAAAUACCGUACUGCGCAUGAAAUCCAUUUUAUAUCUAUCGAUAUUAUAUUUUUCAGCAAAAGUAGAUCAUUUUCCCUCAACAACUGAACAAUAAUGCCGUCUUCUUCACCCGUUGAGCCCCAGAAUGUUAGAUUCUGGCCGGCGUUGGAUAUACUGUUACCUAAAGAAGUGAUCUCGAAGAGACCGAACGACUCAAAGUCAUGGGAUUCGGUGGCAAAGAGCAUCAAUGAGGUUCUGCAGAUCAUACGGCGAAAUUCUCAAGUUUCAGUUAGAGCUUGCAGAAGUCGGAAGCAAGAUUUAUUGCAGAAAUUUAAUAAGGAUGAGUUAUCAUCACUCAGAGCAAAGCAUCCGGUACGGAUGAAGAAUAUGGGGAGAGGGAGCAAUUAUUAACAGAAAUAUGUAGGAAACUGGAGAGAAGGGAAAGGCUUCGGCAUUAGAUAGGAAGAAACAGGAACAGGGGGGAGACGUGAGACGACUGGCAAUGCAGACUCUUACUGGGACCAAACGCACAUCUAUGGAAACUGAGGAAGAUGACACUGUAACACCCACCAAAAAGAGAAAAUCGCACUUGUCAACACCAGCUGCAGACUACAUCACGUUUCUUAGGGAGAAACACGCGGAGGAAUCCAAGUUAAAAUGGGAACAACUAGAGCUAGAAAAGAAGAAACUUGAAUUGGAGAAAGUAGAGAGGGGGGCAAGACU
Molecule: long non-coding RNA, 1450 nt
Organism: Patella vulgata (common limpet)
Lineage: Eukaryota; Metazoa; Mollusca; Gastropoda; Patellidae
Exons: 3
Source: RefSeq, a predicted model, not a curated record